AAGGAAAGAUAGAGAGAGAAGAAAUGAUAAAUAUGUGUUUGAAGAGAGGGAGAAAGUUUCAAAAUGAAACCGUGAGAGAAAUGAGAGGGAAAAUAAAAGUGAAGUUGAUUUAGUGAUUCCAAAUGUCAAUUUAGAAUUGAUGGUAGAGUGUGAAAACUUAACACUUGGCAUGAUAUAAUAGGAUAAUGGGAUAAAUAAAUGGUAAUAUUUGUUGAUUACAUAAACGAGCUUUUGAUAAU
Molecule: long non-coding RNA, 239 nt
Filed under: Lathyrus oleraceus (garden pea)
Lineage: Eukaryota; Viridiplantae; Streptophyta; Magnoliopsida; Fabales; Fabaceae
Description: Pisum sativum (pea) long non-coding RNA (PSAT_LNC017634)
Source: RNAcentral